RNAcentral lists this ribosomal RNA (512 nucleotides) under uncultured bacterium. RNAcentral describes it as "bacterial SSU rRNA". It matches the Rfam family "Bacterial small subunit ribosomal RNA", at positions 36 to 507 of the family's 1533-position model. The record is from RNAcentral.
CUGGCGGCGUGCCUAAUACAUGCAAGUCGAACGCACUCUCGUUUAGAUUGAAGGAGCUUGCUCCUGAUUGAUAAGCAUUUGAGUGAGUGGCGGACGGGUGAGUAACACGUGGGUAACCUGCCCUAAAGUGGGGGAUAACAUUUGGAAACAGAUGCUAAUACCGCAUAAAACCUAACACCGCAUGGUGUAGGGUUGAAAGAUGGUUUCGGCUAUCACUUUAGGAUGGACCCGCGGUGCAUUAGUUAGUUGGUGAGGUAAAGGCUCACCAAGACCGUGAUGCAUAGCCGACCUGAGAGGGUAAUCGGCCACACUGGGACUGAGACACGGCCCAGACUCCUACGGGAGGCAGCAGUAGGGAAUCUUCCACAAUGGACGAAAGUCUGAUGGAGCAACGCCGCGUGAGUGAAGAAGGUUUUCGGAUCGUAAAACUCUGUUGUUGGAGAAGAAUGUAUCUGAUAGUAACUGAUCAGGUAGUGACGGUAUCCAACCAGAAAGCCACGGCUAACUACGUG